CCUUGAGGUAUUGAGCUGGGCUGGAC
Molecule: non-coding RNA, 26 nt
Filed under: Homo sapiens (human)
Lineage: Eukaryota; Metazoa; Chordata; Mammalia; Primates; Hominidae
Source: RNAcentral